Molecule: ribosomal RNA, 459 nt
Filed under: uncultured bacterium
Lineage: Bacteria
Description: partial 16S ribosomal RNA
Rfam family: Bacterial small subunit ribosomal RNA
Source: RNAcentral
CCUACGGGAGGCAGCAGUGAGGAAUAUUGGUCAAUGGUCGGGAGACUGAACCAGCCAAGCCGCGUGAGGGAUGAAGGUACAGAGUAUCGUAAACCUCUUUUGUCAGGGAACAAAGGCGGGGACGUGUCCCCGGAUGAGUGUACCUGAAGAAAAAGCAUCGGCUAACUCCGUGCCAGCAGCCGCGGUAAUACGGAGGAUGCGAGCGUUAUCCGGAUUUAUGGGGUUUAAAGGGUGCGCAGGCGGUCUGUUAAGUCAGCGGUCAAAGCCUGGGGUUCACCCCCGGCCCGCCGUUGAAACUGGCAGUCUCGAGUUGGAGAGAAGUAUGCGGAAUGCGCGGUGUAGCGGUGAAAUGCAUAGAUAUCGCGCAGAACUCCGAUUGCGAAGGCAGCAUGCCGGCUCCACACUGACGCUGAGGCACGAAAGCGUGGGUAUCGAACAGGAUUAGAUACCCCGGUAGUC